RNAcentral lists this ribosomal RNA (253 nucleotides) under uncultured bacterium. Its description in RNAcentral is "partial 16S ribosomal RNA". It matches the Rfam family "Bacterial small subunit ribosomal RNA", at positions 524 to 776 of the family's 1533-position model. The record is from RNAcentral.
UACGUAGGGUGCGAGCGUUAAUCGGAAUUACUGGGCGUAAAGCGUGCGCAGGCGGUUUUGUAAGCCAGAUGUGAAAGCCCCGGGCUCAACCUGGGAACUGCAUCUGUGACUGCAUCGCUGGAGUGCGGCAGAGGGGGAUGGAAUUCCGCGUGUAGCAGUGAAAUGCGUAGAUAUGCGGAGGAACACCGAUGGCGAAGGCAAUCCCCUGGGCCUGCACUGACGCUCAUGCACGAAAGCGUGGGGAGCAAACAGG